This 468-nucleotide ribosomal RNA is filed under the name uncultured bacterium. RNAcentral's name for it is "partial 16S ribosomal RNA". It matches the Rfam family "Bacterial small subunit ribosomal RNA", at positions 28 to 507 of the family's 1533-position model. The record is from RNAcentral.
GACGAACGCUGGCGGCGUGCUUAACACAUGCAAGUCGAACGGAAAGGCCCUGCUUUUGUGGUGUGCUCGAGUGGCGAACGGGUGAGUAACACGUGAGUAACCUGCCCUUGACUUUGGGAUAACUUCCGGAAACUGGGGCUAAUACCGGAUCGGAGCUCCUGCUGCAUGGUGGGGGUUGGAAAGUUUCGGCGGUUGGGGAUGGACUCGCGGCUUAUCAGCUUGUUGGUGGGGUAGUGGCUUACCAAGGCUUUGACGGGUAGCCGGCCUGAGAGGGUGACCGGCCACAUUGGGACUGAGAUACGGCCCAGACUCCUACGGGAGGCAGCAGUGGGGAAUAUUGCACAAUGGGCGGAAGCCGGAUGCAGCAACGCCGCGUGCGGGAUGACGGCCUUCGGGUUGUAAACCGCUGUCGCCUGUGACGAAGCGUGAGUGACGGUAAUGGGUAAAGAAGCACCGGCUAACUACGUG